CAAUGCCGCGUGAGUGAAGAAGGCCUUCGGGUUGUAAAGCUCUUUUGUCAGGGAAGAAACACCGGCUCUAACACAGUCCGGGAAUGACGGUACCUGAAGAAUAAGCACCGGCUAACUACGUGCCAGCAGCCGCGGUAAUACGUAGGGUGCGAGCGUUAAUCGGAAUUACUGGGCGUAAAGCGUGCGCAGGCGGUUAUACAAGACAGGCGUGAAAUCCCCGGGCUUAACCUGGGAAUGGCGCCUGUGACUGUAUAGCUAGAGUGUGUCAGAGGGGGGUAGAAUUCCACGUGUAGCAGUGAAAUGCGUAGAUAUGUGGAGGAAUACCAAUGGCGAAGGCAGCCCCCUGGGAUAACACUGACGCUCAUGCACGAAAGCGUGGGGAGCAAACAGGAUUAGAUACCCUGGUAGUCCACGCCCUAAACGAUGCUGACUAGUUGUUCGGGAUUUACAUCCUGAGUAACGUAGCUAACGCGUGAAGUCAGUCGGCUGGGGAGUACGGUCGCAAGAUUAAAACUCAAAGGAAUUGACGGGGGACCGCAAAAGCGGUGGAUGAUGUGGAUUA
Molecule: ribosomal RNA, 562 nt
Filed under: uncultured bacterium
Lineage: Bacteria
Description: bacterial SSU rRNA
Rfam family: Bacterial small subunit ribosomal RNA
Source: RNAcentral